Melitaea cinxia (Glanville fritillary) is the source of this 100-nucleotide long non-coding RNA. RefSeq lists it as uncharacterized. The record is from RefSeq and is a predicted model, not a curated record. NCBI's taxonomy places the organism in Eukaryota, Metazoa, Arthropoda, Insecta, Lepidoptera, Nymphalidae. The transcript has 3 exons.
UGGCGUAACUCCUGGCUGUUAGAUGGCCAUUCGAUUGUAGGGAUGCUUUUCGCCAGUAGCUACGUCUUUGUUGUCCUUGCAGUAUAGCAGGAAGCACCAU